GGAGGGGAGGGGGAGGUGGAUUAUUCUAUAAAACCCCUUAACUGAUCUGUAUUAUGAAUUUAUUUGUCCUACAAAUUCUAAUUGCUUGCUAACUGGAAGGUUUUCUUUCAGGCAGUGUGAUAGACAAAGAUGAGUACAUUUUCAUAUCCUAAAAUAGUUGAUGAUUUUCCUGUCCAUAUAGAUUUGGCCCUCUUUGAAGGAACACAUCAUAUCUUUCUUAAUGUAUAUCCAUUUUCUAUUGAAUGAGGAGUUGAACAGAUGUCCUUGCUGAAUUAGCAAUGAAAAUAUUAGUAUAAUGUUUGAUUGAAGUUUACUAUUGCUGAGAAGGACAUAAAAGAGGUGUGGUGGAAGGGUCUGCCAGAACCAGAGGCUAAGCACACAGCAGUAUAAAAAAAAUUAUUUAUUCCAGCUUCCAGAAUUCCUCCUCUUCAGCCUUUCCUGUUCGUUGGAAUAAUGAAGCUGUUAAACAGUGGUGUAAAGAAGUUCCAUCCAGUGGUUGAAGCUCAGUAGAAAUCAAGGAAGUAGGCUGUGUAGCUCACGUAGACCGUCUGUACUCGAGUCCUUCCCAGGCUCACUAAGGGGGAGAGGGGACACAGAGUUUUCAAAAUUUGCUUGUAGCAGAUACGAUUAUCUUCCAAUGAAUAUCUUCAUGAAACUGGAUUUAAAUAAUUACAUGUUAAAUAAAAUAUGUAGGUAUUAAGUUAACUUCCUCCUGGGGCUACUCAGGGUUUAUUUUUGUAGCCUUUAGAGGGGACAGAAACAAGGAGGCUACAUUUUUACUGACUGUGCUAGGCAUUCUGGAAAACUCCAGGUAAUAGAAACAUUUUAUUUUCUAUUUUCGUUCCAAAGUAAAUGCAGUAUUAAAUGAGCAAGUUUAGGUAAAUGCUUAGUGACGUGCCAAAAAGCUUACACAUAUACUUGCUUAACAGAGCUUUCCUUCUGGAAUUAAUGAAAUUCUAACCACAAAGAGGUGUUAGAAAUUAAUUCAAGAGCUGUAUUUGAAAGCCUGAAGACUCUCCCCUCUCCUUUAUUCACCAUCCCUACCCUUCCUGCCCAUCCCUACCCUUCUCUCUGCACCCUUGCCCCCUGGUGAGCACCUAGUUGAGUAGUUGUGCUUUGAAACUCAGUGUGAGAGGGAGGUUUUGUGGAUCUCUUAAAUCACAACACAAAACAGCUCACCACCACCAUCACCACCACUAUCACCAUGCAGUAGCUUUUGAUCAUGUCUCUUGAAUUGGUCAGUGCUCCCAACUGGACAAGAAAAACAAAUAUACAGGGAAUGUAUUUUUUUGUUUGUUUGUUUAAUCUUGCAUAUCUUGUCCUUGAUGCUUUGCAUGGAUCAAAGUUGCUUUGGCGUCUCUGCCCCCAUCAGAACUGUGGUUGUCUGGGGUUUAAGAGAUCCCAUAGCAUAAAUCUCCACUAGAUGUCAGUGUGUCACUAAAUGAAACUGGUUCAGCAUGCGCUCCAGAACUGUUUUUGAAAUCUAUUGGAAAGGUAAAUUCCAAUUUUAUAUUUUCCAACCAGAAUGAUGGAUAUAGAUGUGUUUUUGUGGUACAUGUUAGUAAUAAGUGGUAUUUGUCCUCAUGUUUAAAAAACACAUUAUCUUUCAUCUGAGGAUUUCAAAAUGCUUACCUCCAAGGGUACUUCAGCAGGUUCAUGGAAAAAUGGAAUUAAUUAGCAGAUAAUGUGCAUUUUCCAUGAACUUUUUUCAAGGUCCCUCCUGAAUUCUAGUCAUUUGCCAUAAUAUUCCAAAAGACAUGAAAUGCAAAUAUGGCCUUCAGUUUCCAGUAGAGUAACAGGAAUUGCAUGGGGUCACAGUGAUUGGCCCAAGGCCACAUAGUCACAGUGAAAGGAACUGGACUGGAACUUUGUGAUUGCAGAACAUACUGUGCCUCAUCCACACCGCCGUUGCUUUGGUAUCUGAAGUGCAUUUAGAUGCAGAAUCCCUUUGGAGAAGUCUGCCGUAUGUAUUAAUGACCUUCCCUAUAAAACAAGCUCAUAGGAGUGAAAUAAUUAAGAGCCAUUAAGUUAGUAAAGUUAGCAUGGGAAUGUUUCUAUCAGAAAAACCUAAAUUUUAUUACUGCACAAACAGAUGCUAAACAACAAUCGAAAGCACUUCAAAAAGUUCAUGGAAAAGUAUAUAUUCAAUUUCUUAUGGAUUUUUUGAAGUCUCAUAUUUUCAUGUAUGCUAUUUUUGGAAUGGUGAACUCAAGCCAGCAUGAACCUCAUCUUAGUUCAUUUUCAAGUGCAAAAGGGAAGAAAGGAAGAAGUAAUCUGGAAUGAAAAAUGGGAACUGAAAAAUUUGAGGAUUUUGGUACAGAUUCUACAUUGUAGGUUUCACACUGUGUAGUUUUCUUAAAGAGAAGUCUACAUAUAAUUCUGUAUCAUAGGAUUUAAAUGGUGAUUUUUCCCUAGAUUAUAUACACAGGUUCCAGGUCUAUCAUAUUUGUGGGUAAAGAUUAAAAGAGUGAACAGAAAAGAGGUUAGGCUGGUGGGAUUAUGAUAAAUGUAAUUCCUCCUUUAUGUGGUAAUAUUGUUCUAUAAUAAAUAAAGAGAAAGAAUGUUUCCUCCUUUAUUGUUCAUGUUGUAAAAAUUUGCCACAGUCUCAAGCUUAAGGAGAGCUCAUUGACAUCCAUGAAAACAAUUGUAAUUCAGGAUGGGCUUAAUGUUUGGCUUGUUUACCAAUGUUUCCCAUUAAAUCAUAAAAAUCAAGGUUAAGCUGGCAAAAGUACAUGGUCAGAUUUUCAAACUGCAAUGUAAAUUUUAAGUGAAGAUAAUUGAUUACUUAAAUCCUAGCAGGCAAUUUGCUGUGGUAUUUAGUGUAUUACUGGUGUUAAGUGAAUAUUGAUAAAUAAGUUUUAAAAUAUAGCUCUAUUUAACUUGUGUUUUUAUUUCAAUGGAGUAUAAAGUUAGAAGAGUUACCAGUUAAGUUCAACAGAGUGUCAAAGUAAAACAUUAAAAUGCUGUUGUUUUUGCAUGUUUGAACCUAGUUUUGAUUCAGAACUUGUAUAUAGCAAAUCAUGCAUGUGUCAAACAGAUAUAAAAUAACAUUCUGUAUAUAUAUAUAAAGGAAUUAUAUGUCUCAAGCAAAUAAUAACAGUGUAGCCACCUUGAAUUAUGUGUGAAAAUUUCAUGGCCAAUAAAACACUGAUCAGUGAUUAUCAGUUGGGGAAGCUGGGCAUGUCUAUUAAAAUUCAC
This is a long non-coding RNA of Lepus europaeus (European hare), 3198 nucleotides long. RefSeq lists it as uncharacterized. The transcript is spliced from 3 exons. The record is from RefSeq and is a predicted model, not a curated record. NCBI's taxonomy places the organism in Eukaryota, Metazoa, Chordata, Mammalia, Lagomorpha, Leporidae.